ACAGAUGCAGGCAGGGAGCGGGAGGAGGGAAUGGGAAUGAGCUGAGCAGCAGCAUCACAGCUGGAGGGCUGGACAUGGAUGACCAGCUCCUCACUUCCAGGUGUUUCCACAUCAAGCAUCCUGCAGACAGCUAACAAGUUCAUUCUACAAAGUACAGUUCUCACCACUUUAUCCUUCCUCUGCUCGGAAACAGUCAAUGGUUUCCCACUGUCCACAGGGGAUGCUUAACGCAUGUGGGUUAUGCAGCUAGAAAGACAAGGCACAACCUCUUUGGUCUCUGCCUCUUUUCAUGGCACAGACACCAAAAGCCAUCUAAUGGAUGACCAGACAACAUGGAGAAAAGAGCUCUCCUAGAAAGCCAAGGCCCAGAAGAGUGAGGAGAAGGCCUGUGUCCGGCAGGGUCUACUGAUUCUAAGCCUACGACAUACUGAGAAGAAAAUCAACUCUCUAUCAAGGAAUGUGAUAGAUGUGGGGUGUGGGGGGAAUUUAAUAAAACUGUAUCGGUGGAAGGUUCUAGACACUCUGGAAAGUAAACAUCUGCAUUAAUCAGUGUUUGUUGAACACCCAUGGCUUAUGAAAAGCAUUCCCUGGGAGCAGAUUUCCACCACGUCCAACAUCAGAGCAAAGCGUUCUGCUCAGCACAGGAUGGGCAUUAGAGGCAUGUUAGCCAGUUUUGAUCACCCCUCCCCAGUUCUCUGUGUCAAGUGUUCUUAAAUAAGAGAAAACAGCUCUGGGAGGAAGAAAAAAAUUCAGCAACAUAAACUAGGAGCAUCUCAUCAACGAACUGUUCCCUACAUAACUCAGAGCUGCACAAGAGAACACGGAUUCUUCAGCAACAAGUUGAACAGUCACAGCUCCAGUCCAUUAAAAAAAAAAAAGUGACAUGUUAUCUACUCAAUGGAAAAACUUGUGCAUGUUUUCUUUCGGUCUGUAGAAACAACACAGUGAAAACUCAAACCAUUUCAAAUGCACUUGGGCUGUUAAGGGUUGUAAAGCUCUUGCAUUCAAGCAGAGGAAACAAAAGCGUCAAAUAAGAAAAUAUUUACUUGCUCAUAAAGUUCACAAGAGAAGGUAUUCAGCUGUAUGUUAUUUAUAAAUGAUUAAUUACUUUGUCACCUGAAUAAUGUAUAGGAAAUACCUGUUUCUUUUCUUUUUAGGGGGUGGGAGGCAGUAAGAAUAAAAACAAGAGAAACGCACGGCAAGUAGGAGCUAGGAGCUGGUAAAUGUGAGUUCCUUUCUCCUUCCCUUUCCUGCCCUUUUGGGGGGCUUGAUAUGGAAUUACUCAAGGGCGAACGAGAAUUACUCCAGCGCAUGCACAAGUGUGAAACACCAGACUGGGAUCCAAAAGUCUGCUUGUCACUGAGCCGUAAGUUAACCAGCGGCAGAGCUGAGAACAGAUAGGACCAAAAUGUGAUCCUACAAGCAGCAGCCGUCGGUGAAGACAGUCAGGACAUCUCUGGUCUUCAAGGCUCUGAAGAUAAAUCAGUUGUGUGUGCACUCUACUCUUGUCUGUUUUGCUGCUCAGCAGAACCUUGAGAUUUUGGGUGGGUAGAGACAAAUGAAGGUUCAAACAUACAACCGUCAAUUUUCCAAUUUAUUGGCUACACCACGGGGUGGAGAAAACAGCUUCUCACAGGGGAGGCUGCUUGGGUUUCCACUUGAGUUGCCUGGCAGUUGCAAUUCAAUCUGCACAUGCUACUCCCCACCCACCCCCGACCUAAUUUCUUUAGACAAUUAGGAAUAGCUGACUUUUUUAAAAAAACAAGGCAAACUCCACAUAAACAAAGUUGCUCUAUCACCUCAUUUUUUUUAUUCUACCAAAUUGGCAAACAUUCACAAUGAUGUGCUGACUCCAAGGUGGGGAAGGGGCACCUGCAAACUCUGC
Molecule: long non-coding RNA, 1885 nt
Filed under: Homo sapiens (human)
Lineage: Eukaryota; Metazoa; Chordata; Mammalia; Primates; Hominidae
Description: HSALNT0399832
Source: RNAcentral